ACCCCCGGUAUUGUUGCUGUUUUGGGUUGCGACCGAGCUUAGCCUUGUUCAUUUUUUUACACAACAGCGCCGUAAAAAAUAAAACACGCCCUGCUCAAGGUCGCAGUUCUAACGACUUCCAGGCGUCUAAAUCCGCCCUAAAGUGCGGCAAAAAUGGGCUCACGGCGCCCUUUUAGGGCAA
RNAcentral lists this small RNA (181 nucleotides) under Pseudomonas sp. NFACC02. Its description in RNAcentral is "Pseudomonas sRNA P1". It matches the Rfam family "Pseudomonas sRNA P1". From Rfam's summary of the family: There appears to be two related copies of P1 sRNA in the P.aeruginosa PA01 genome and both copies appear to be located upstream of predicted glutamine synthetase genes. This sRNA appears to be conserved amongst several Pseudomonas species. Lineage: Bacteria; Pseudomonadati; Pseudomonadota; Gammaproteobacteria; Pseudomonadales; Pseudomonadaceae. The record is from RNAcentral.